RNAcentral lists this unclassified non-coding RNA (337 nucleotides) under rhizosphere metagenome. RNAcentral's name for it is "partial ribosomal RNA internal transcribed spacer region". The record is from RNAcentral.
GUAGGUGAACCUGCGGAAGGAUCAUUAUCGAAUAAACUUGAACAGGCUGUUUUUUUGCUGGCCCUUGAAAGAGGGCAUGUGCACGCUUGUCCAUCUUUGUCAUUUCUCCAAACUGUGCACAUACUGUAGACCCUGGGGGGAGCAUUAUGAAUGAAUGAAUUUCCAUUCGAGUUGGGGAUUGCUGCGCUUACAAAAGAAAAAGUCGGCUUUCCCUUGUAUUUUUUCAGGUCUAUGUUGUUUCUCACAACCUCUAUAACAUGUUUAGAAUGUUGAAUCAAGGUCUUUGUACCUAUAUAAAAAGUUAAUACAACUUUCAGCAACGGAUCUCUUGGCUCUC